UUUGAGCCGAUGAUCUAUUUGCCAAUAUUCUGAUCAUCAUAUGCGGACACAUUAAUUAUUAUGACAUUACUCAUGUUUCAAUUGCUACAAUUUUCUCCCUAUAGAACAAUGCAUAAACACUAAAUUAUCUCAUUCACUCAAUAAUAAUACUAAAAAAAUUGCAGCAGUGUUGUAAUAUAACACAAGUACUAAUACAAAAUCACAAAAUUGCAGCAGUGAUGUAAUUUAUCUGUUUUUAUCUGUCUUUGGAUCUUGUUUGAUGAUAGAUACAC
RNAcentral lists this long non-coding RNA (272 nucleotides) under Cicer arietinum (chickpea). RNAcentral's name for it is "long non-coding RNA (CARI_LNC001991)". The record is from RNAcentral. Lineage: Eukaryota; Viridiplantae; Streptophyta; Magnoliopsida; Fabales; Fabaceae.